This 439-nucleotide ribosomal RNA is filed under the name uncultured bacterium. RNAcentral describes it as "partial 16S ribosomal RNA". It matches the Rfam family "Bacterial small subunit ribosomal RNA", at positions 339 to 795 of the family's 1533-position model. The record is from RNAcentral.
CUACGGGAGGCAGCAGUGAGGAAUAUUGCACAAUGGAGGAAACUCUGAUGCAGCAACGCCGCGUGGAGGAUGACGCAUUUCGGUGUGUAAACUCCUUUUAUGAGUCAAGAAAAUGACGGUAGCUCAUGAAUAAGCACCGGCUAACUCCGUGCCAGCAGCCGCGGUAAUACGGAGGGUGCAAGCGUUACUCGGAAUCACUGGGCGUAAAGGACGCGUAGGCGGGAUAUCAAGUCAGGUGUGAAAUCCUACAGCUUAACUGUAGAACUGCACUUGAAACUGGUAACCUAGAGUAUGGGAGGGGGAGAUGGAAUUAGUGGUGUAGGGGUAAAAUCCGUAGAUAUCACUAGGAAUACCUAAAGCGAAGGCGAUCUCCUGGAACAUAACUGACGCUGAGGCGUGAAAGCGUGGGGAGCAAACAGGAUUAGAUACCCCGGUAGUC